UUAGAUAAAAGUGUUUGAAAAUCCAUCAGUAACCCUAGAGCAACUUUAUCUUCUUCGUACCCCCUGUCCCUCCACCGUCUGCCGGAAAUCGUCUCCGCCGGCGGCGAUGCUCCAAACCUCACCAAAACUACACCUUAGGUUCCCCUCUUCCUCCUCUUUCCAUAUCUAACCUUAGUUUCCCUUAAAUCCUCAAAAGUUUCGAAUAUCAAAUCGGAAAAUUCGGCCAAAACACAAACUCGUCCAAUCGAUCCGAAAUCGAUACCAGAUAGUCUCUUAACCUUCCUCAACUCGAAUCCUUGAUCAAAACCCCUCUAAUCCCUCCAAGACUUCUCGAAUUUUGGAUCCAGGGUUUUUGUCAAGAGUUACUGGAAUUUCUAGGGUUAGCUCGGGCUCAUAUGGUUUUUAAAUUAUAUUAUUUGUUUGUUCUUGGUAAGAGCAAACACAUAAUAUUAUUUGAAGAUCAAUUGUGAAAUUAGCCGAGUUGGGUGCUCAAAACCAGUAAGUUGCUCAUUUUUCCUUUGUUAAAUUAUCCUCUCCAUGGCAGCUUUGCUUCAUUAAUUGAUUCUGUGUUAUCUAUUUGGAGUCAGUAAUCAAAAUCGUUUUUGAUUGUGUCAUUUUGAUUUGAAGUCAGUUGAAUGCUAACAUGAAUCUAUCUAUCUAAUUUUCGCACUCGCUUAAGUAUAGUUCUUGUUGAUUAAUCCAUAGUUAGUUUUCUAGGAUUCAGCUCAAAUUAUGUUUUUCGUCUUUAGUCAGUAAUGUUCUUCCUCAGUGGGUUGAUCCUGUUUCAUGAUUGACUGAUUCCGUUUCAUUUUAGUUUUCAUUAGAUUUGAUUCUCUGUUAGCUUGAUUCAAUUUUGUUAUUGGAUAAUCUGAUCUUUUUUUAAUUCUUGGAAUGAUUUGGGUAGUAAGUGAGUGUGGUUAGUAUAGGUUCAAUUUCGUUUAAGGUGGCUUUGUUCGGUUGAUUCUCGUUAAGUAUUGCUGAUCUUUAUCUUUGUCAGUAUUUGAUUUGUGACGUUUUAAUUCAGCCCAAUUGGGCUUAUUCUGUAAGUAUCAUUGUGUAAUAAAGUAGCUCAUUUGGUCUUUAGGCUUAGCUUAGGAUGAUUGGAUGCAGUUGAAUCUAGUUAACCCAUCCAAACUCCUCUUUUCUUUCAAUUUCUGUUAGCAUUUUAAAUCCAAUACUCAAAAAAUACAAACAAAAAAAUCAUAAAAUUAGAAAACAAAAAAAAAAUGAAAAAUAGAUACUGUUUCGUUGAGCAUUUUGCAGAUUUAAUGCUAUUCACUGUUAUUUUUCUUCGUAGUCUUAUAGUUUCUGUUAAAUUCUGAGUUUACAAAAGUGAUGUAGUCUGGUUCAAGUGAUUCCACCUCUGUUGGGUUUAAAUUUGGGUUGAUUUUGGAGUUUUGGUCUUGUUUUGGUCAUUGGACGUGUACUGGCAUUAUCCUGAGGCUACAUUUCUAUGUGUUAAGUUCAAUUGAAUCCCCUGAUUUGAGUAACUACUGUUGUUUUUGGUUUUCAAACCUCUUUUGGGUUAUAAAUUGAUUCCCUGGGCUGUGCAUGGUUGCUACUCGCAUAUCUGCUGGUUUGUUGAUAUAGUGCUGCUGCUGAGUUUCCUUUUCUGUGGCAAAUUCCAUUUCCAGGUAACAUUUUGAACUCAUUGCAAUGUAAUUGUGAGCUGAAAGAUAAAAUAAAGAAGUCUCAUGGAUUUUCCGUGAUUAUGAGUGCCUCCUGUUGACUGCUUCAUAGCUAUGUUAAUGUUGUAGUUUCAAUUGAUUUUAUAUAAAUUCUAUCGCAGUUGUAAGGUUAUAGAAUUAGGAUACUGGCAGUUUGCUUGGAAUUGGUUUAAACUGGGAUUACUAUCAAGCUAUAGGGACUGUGUUAACUAGAACAUUAAUUGUGAUCUGUUUAAUCCUGGACCUUACAGCUUUCAUUUGAAAUCCUGUGUUAAUUGUUAUAUUGUCGUUAUUUCCAGCUUACUGUGCAUUUAAAAGUAAUUGAUUUCAGGCCAGAUUGAAAGGCGUUUCGUAAAUAAAAUAAACACUGUUUGGUUCAUGUGAGUAAUAGGGUAUAAUAUUAAUACCAUGUUUAAUUGAUUGCAAGAAUUUGUAGAGUUUGUCUCAAACAGUUGAUACGUUUCUGUUUGUGAAUCACGCCCAAUUGAAUUGUCAUGCUAUUUGAGGGUUCAAUGUAAGUCAAUAAGUAAAAUAAUUGGGAUGCGAACUCAGCCCCUUAUCGUUUUGCACAUCUGGACUCGUUGAGAGUCUAUUCUAUCAAUCGUUAUUUGCUCUUUGGGAUAUCGGAUCCCCAAGAACCUUUGGGCUGUGUAACGUGAACUGAAAUCCCCAGUCCCAUAACAUGUAUUUGGAAAUUGGGUUUGGGCUAAACGUUACUCAGAAUUUGGUCAUGCCUUGUAUGUCGUUUGAUUUGAGUUGGUUGGGCUAGGGAUUAAAUGACUACUGAUUCGUUAGUUCUUUUUGAGUGACACAUUUGGUCUUCGAAUUAGGUAGCGGGUUCAAGCUAAAAGUCACUCCCUUCUGUUUGGACCCGGGCUUAAAUUUGAAGCUCGACCUUUCUAAUAAUAAUAAUCAGUUAGGAUUUUUCUUUUCUUUUAG
RNAcentral lists this long non-coding RNA (2606 nucleotides) under Nicotiana benthamiana. Its description in RNAcentral is "long non-coding RNA (NBEN_LNC022526)". The record is from RNAcentral. Lineage: Eukaryota; Viridiplantae; Streptophyta; Magnoliopsida; Solanales; Solanaceae.